Small nucleolar RNA from Salvia splendens (bonfire salvia), 90 nucleotides. Lineage: Eukaryota; Viridiplantae; Streptophyta; Magnoliopsida; Lamiales; Lamiaceae. The record is from RefSeq and is a predicted model, not a curated record.
UGGCUAUGAUUAAACAAUUAUCCGCGCUUCUGAGGUUUCCAAUCGAUGAAGUAGAUUGAUAAUAAUGGUUGAAUUUCUUAAUAUGAGCCA